RNAcentral lists this small RNA (119 nucleotides) under Streptomyces sp. ERV7. RNAcentral's name for it is "Streptomyces-metK RNA". It matches the Rfam family "Streptomyces-metK RNA". Lineage: Bacteria; Bacillati; Actinomycetota; Actinomycetes; Kitasatosporales; Streptomycetaceae. The record is from Rfam by way of RNAcentral.
GCGAGACAAGUGGCCCGGUGACCGGUACCGACCGAUAAACUGGUGGUGGAACGACGCCGGGCGCAGCCUCCGGCCCGUGCCACCCAUGAUCAGCCAGCAGCCGCUGCAACCCCAGGGAG